AAAUGCGAUAAGUAAUGUGAAUUGCAGAAUUCAGUGAAUCAUCGAAUCUUUGAACGCACCUUGCGCUCCUUGGUAUUCCUUGGAGCAUGCCUGUUUGAGUAUCAUGAAAUCUUCAAAGUAAAUCUUUUGUUAACUCAAUUGGUUUCUACUUUGGUAUUGGAGGUCUUUGCAGCUUCACACCUGCUCCUCUUUGUUCAUUAGCUGGAUCUCAGUGUUAUGCUUGGUUCCACUCGGCGUGAUAAGUUAUCUAUCGCUGAGGACACUGUAAAAGGUGGCCAAGGUAAAUGCAGAUGAACCGCUUCUAAUAGUCCAUUGACUUGGACAAUACUUUGAUGAUCUGAUCUCAAAUCAGGUAGGACUACCCGCUGAACUUAAGC
RNAcentral lists this unclassified non-coding RNA (377 nucleotides) under plant metagenome. RNAcentral describes it as "partial contains 5.8S ribosomal RNA, internal transcribed spacer 2, and large subunit ribosomal RNA". The stretch from base 1 to 104 matches the Rfam family "5.8S ribosomal RNA", at positions 51 to 154 of the family's 154-position model. The record is from RNAcentral.